RNAcentral lists this non-coding RNA (800 nucleotides) under Abacion magnum. Lineage: Eukaryota; Metazoa; Arthropoda; Diplopoda; Callipodida; Callipodidae. The record is from RNAcentral.
AAAAAAGAAGGGAUUAGACUAUGUAAUUAUAAUUAUAAAAUAAUUGGAGAAGACUUCUAAAGUUUGAUUUUAGUUUAAUAUUUCUUUAUUAGGAUAAUUUAUAUGUAUGUUGUUAUAAAUUAAAAUUUAACAGUAAAUAAUAUUAUGUUGUAUAUAAAUAUUUUACAUAGUUAUUUUUGUACUUCCGGCUAAGAUUGUGCCAGCAGCUGCGGUUAUACGAUCGGGGGGAAAGAAAGUGUUCGGGGGAUACAAGGUUUGAAUAUAGAUGGUUUUAUAUAUGUUAUUUGUCGGUAAAAUUACAAUUAUAUAUGUUUUUCUUUGAAUUAUUAGGACGUUUGUUUGAAAUUAUUAGUUAGUGACUAGGAUUAGAUACCCUAUUAAUUAUAUUGUUAAGGCUUGAAUAGUAUUAGGGUUCUUGAAACUUAAAGAAUUUGGCGGUAUUUUAGUCUAUUUAGAGGAAUUUGUUCUGUAAUCGAUAGUACACGAGUUAUUUGACUUUUUUUUGUUUUAUUCAAUUUACAUAUCGCCGUCGGUAGAAGAUUUUUGAGAAUAUUUUCGUGGAUUUGUUCAAAAGUACGCCAGGUCAAGGUGUAGUUUAUAAAAGAGUAUGAAAUGAGUUACAAUAGAGGGGUUUAGUAUGAAUUGUUGGAGGGAGAUUGACAUGAAGGUGGAUUUAAUUGUAAGUGUAUAUUAGUUAGUUAAAGUGAAAAGUGCUCUAAAAUAUGUACACAUCGCCCGUCGCUCUCAGGUUUGGGAUAAGUCGUAACAUAGUGGAUGUAUCGGAAGAUGCCUCUGGAUUU